GACGAACGCUGGCGGCGUGCUUAACACAUGCAAGUCGAACGGUGAAGCUUGGUUUUUGCAUGGGGUGGAUGAGUGGCGAGUGGGUGGGUAAUACGAGUGUACUGUGCACUAGAGUGUGGGAUCCGCAUGGGAAAGGGGGUAUUAUACUGGAUAUGAGCUGUCAGCGUGUGGGGGUUUGGGGAACGGGGUUUGCUGGGGUUGGAUGGGCGCACGGCCUAUUAGCUGGUUGGUGGGGUAAUGGCUCACCAAGGCGACGACGGGUAGCCGGCCUGAGAGGGUGACCGGCCACACUGGGACUGAGACACGGCCCAGACUCCUACGGGAGGCAGCAGUGGGGAAUAUUGCACAAUGGGCGGAAGCCUGAUGCAGCGACGCCGCGUGCGGGAUGACGGCCUUCGGGUUGUAAACCGCUUUCAGCUCUGAAGAAGCGAAAGUGACGUUACUUGCAGAAGAAGCACCGGCUAACUACGUG
RNAcentral lists this ribosomal RNA (472 nucleotides) under uncultured bacterium. RNAcentral describes it as "partial 16S ribosomal RNA". It matches the Rfam family "Bacterial small subunit ribosomal RNA", at positions 28 to 507 of the family's 1533-position model. The record is from RNAcentral.